GACGAACGCUGGCGGCGUGCCUAAUACAUGCAAGUUGAGCGCUGAAGGUUGGUACUUGUACCAACUGGAUGAGCAGCGAACGGGUGAGUAACGCGUGGGGAAUCUGCCUUUGAGCGGGGGACAACAUUUGGAAACGAAUGCUAAUACCGCAUAAAAACUUUAAACACAAGUUUUAAGUUUGAAAGAUGCAAUUGCAUCACUCAAAGAUGAUCCCGCGUUGUAUUAGCUAGUUGGUGAGGUAAAGGCUCACCAAGGCGAGGAUACAUAGCCGACCUGAGAGGGUGAUCGGCCACAUUGGGACUGAGACACGGCCCAAACGCCUACGGGAGGCAGCAGGAGGGAAUCUUCGGCAAUGGACGAAAGUCUGACCGAGCAACGCCGCGUGAGUGAAGAAGGUUUUCGGAUCGUAAAACUCUGUUGGUAGAGAAGAACGUUGGUGAGAGUGGAAAGCUCAUCAAGUGACGGUAACUACCCAGAAAGGGACGGCUAACUACGUG
This 497-nucleotide ribosomal RNA is filed under the name uncultured bacterium. RNAcentral describes it as "partial 16S ribosomal RNA". It matches the Rfam family "Bacterial small subunit ribosomal RNA", at positions 28 to 507 of the family's 1533-position model. The record is from RNAcentral.